This 739-nucleotide ribosomal RNA is filed under the name Ektaphelenchus oleae. RNAcentral's name for it is "partial large subunit ribosomal RNA". It matches the Rfam family "Eukaryotic large subunit ribosomal RNA", at positions 399 to 945 of the family's 3401-position model. Lineage: Eukaryota; Metazoa; Nematoda; Chromadorea; Rhabditida; Aphelenchoididae. The record is from RNAcentral.
GUGAAAUCGAUAUAAUGGAAGCGAAUGAAGUCGACGUAUCUAGUGCGUAUUCAGUUGUUGCGGAGGCUCGAGUGUCGGUUGUGCGAAUUCCGCGAGGUUUCGCCGGCGGCGCGUUCGGCUUUCGGGGCGAUGCAUUUACGCGCAGAGUGCGGUGAGUCGGCUGGUGUUGUCGGUGGGAUGCUGUUCGCUCAAGAGGGCGCGCUCCUCACGGAGUGUGUAUCCUUGGCGUUGCGGAUGCCGAUUAACGCCGGCUGGAGAGUUGCCGGAAAGCAUUGGCCUUCACGAGCGUGCGUUCCAGCGGUUGUUGUUUCUCGUGAGGGGCGCAUGCGCACUUCGCUUGAGGCGGCGGCGGUUGGGCGUUCGCUCACUUUGCUUUUCUCGCCGUAUAGUCGGUCACUCAUUCGACCCGUCUUGAAACACGGACCAAGGAGUUUAUGGUACACGCGAGUCAUUGAGUCUGCAGAAACUCAAAGGCGUAAUGAAAGUGAGGACUGUGUUCCCAACAGUUGAUUGAUACGAGCGUUGUGCGGUCCGCGGAGCGCCGGCGCGCAGUAUCUCCCCAUUCUUGGAGCUUGCUCUGGUGUGGAGGAAUAGCGUGUGCAAUGAGACCCGAAAGAUGGUGAACUAUGCCUGAACAGGAUGAAGCCAGAGGAAACUCUGGUGGAAGUCCGAAGCGGUUCUGACGUGCAAAUCGAUCGUCUGAUUUUGGUAUAGGGGCGAAAGACUAAUCGAACCAUCU